RNAcentral lists this transfer RNA (76 nucleotides) under Bacteroidota bacterium. Its description in RNAcentral is "Bacteroidetes bacterium (freshwater metagenome) tRNA-Asn". It matches the Rfam family "tRNA". From Rfam's summary of the family: Transfer RNA (tRNA) molecules are approximately 80 nucleotides in length. Their secondary structure includes four short double-helical elements and three loops (D, anti-codon, and T loops). Lineage: Bacteria; Pseudomonadati; Bacteroidota. The record is from RNAcentral.
UGUGUCGUGGGUGAGUGGUGAGCCAGCAGACUGUUAAUCUGCCUUUUCGCAGGUUCGAAUCCUGCCGACACAGCCA